GUCGCCUUCGCGUGGCAUCUUAGGGCUAUUAGACACAUCUUCGGGCAUUUCAGAAUGCACAAAAACAGUAAAUAGGUAGCAAUGAAAAGGUUAAGAGUAAGACUCAUACAGCAAGCCGCCACUCUACUUAGUUUUUGUUGUCUCUCUCAUUCAUUUCCACUCUUCAAUCUCCACUCUGUCACAAUGACAGAGAGGGCGUGUGUGACAGUGCUGUGAUGUCCAGCCUCCCAUUGUAUUGAACCAACACGUGCUACUUACACAGGAAGUGGUGAAGACACAUAUGAUACAGGCCCAGGUGUGAUGGCUGCCAUGGUAGUCAAAGCGGCACUGUCAGAUGGAUAGCUUGAAGCACAGAUCUGUUCGACUAUAUUCCCAUAACCCAUCAUGCCAUUUUGGACCCGUUCAUGAGCAGGAUUAAUUUUCACAUUUCAAGUAUCUAAUUAAA
Hippocampus comes (tiger tail seahorse) is the source of this 445-nucleotide long non-coding RNA. RefSeq lists it as uncharacterized. The transcript is spliced from 3 exons. The record is from RefSeq and is a predicted model, not a curated record. NCBI's taxonomy places the organism in Eukaryota, Metazoa, Chordata, Actinopteri, Syngnathiformes, Syngnathidae.